UUCAAUCACCCACUUCCCACACGCAACAAUAGCUCAUGGGUACCACAGAUAACUUUGCCAAAGUUCUCUGCCAAAGUUGAGCACGUGAAGCUUGCAGCUCCCACUACAUCGCUCUGACCAAGAAGGGUAAAAGAAUAGCAAAGAAACAGCACUAACAAAGUUUAGACCCAUAAAUUUUGAAGGUAUAGCUACCAUAUUAUUACCCACAAGGGUAAAGGAACAGUACCACUGCUGGAUAAUUGGAAAGUCCAUGUAUGUCAACCUCUGUGCUUCGUGGCAAGGUAGACUAGCAAACAUGCCCAACCUUUACUCACAUUCGAGAAAACACUCCCAAUAAGAUUGCUUGCUCCAAAAUCGAAGAGGCACCGUCCUCCGAAUCUAAAGAGCCAGACUCCCAACAUGACUACUUUCUUAAAAAUCGAAGAGAGGGUAAAGGAACAGUACCAUUGCUGGAUAAUUGGAAAGUCCCUGUGUGUCAACCUCUGUGCUUCGUGGCAAGGUAGACUAGCAAACAUGCCCAACCUUUACUCACAUUCGAGAAAACACUCCCAACAAGAUUGCUUGCUCCAAAAUCGAAGAGGCACCGCCCUCCGAAUCUCGAGAGCCAGACUCUCCCAACAUGAUUACUUUCUCAAAAAUCGAAGAGACACUGCUCCCCGAAUCUCGAGAGCCAGACCCCCAGCAUGAUUGCUUUCUCAAAAAUCGAUGAGGCAUCGUUCUCCGAAUCAAUCGAAGAGGCGCUCGCUUUCUCAAAAGCUGGGCUGCUCAGAGACCACGAGGGCCGAUCUCAGAAAUCGAAGAGGCACCUACUUUUCUAGCCUUGUCAGCACCUGUCACACGCACACUCAGCUUUGCAGAAAUUAUGGGCAUUCUGUCGAAGACUUCUGGUGAAGUAGAAAGCACAUGAAUCUUACUGUUCAAUCACCCACUUCCCACACGCAACAAUAGCUCAUGGGUACCACAGAUAACUUUGCCAAAGUUCUCUGCCAAAGUUGAGCACGUGAAGCUUGCAGCUCCCACUACAUCGCUCUGACCAAGAAAGGUAAAAGAAUAGCAAAGAAACAGCACUAACAAAGUUUAGACACAUAAAUUUUGAAGGUCUAGCUACCAUAUUAUUACCCACAAGGGUAAAGGAACAGUACCACUGCUGGAUAAUUGGAAAGUCCCUGUGUGUCAA
This 1177-nucleotide long non-coding RNA is filed under the name Malus domestica (apple). Its description in RNAcentral is "long non-coding RNA (MDOM_LNC016230)". The record is from RNAcentral. Lineage: Eukaryota; Viridiplantae; Streptophyta; Magnoliopsida; Rosales; Rosaceae.